AGUGAACGCUGGCGGUAGGCCUAACACAUGCAAGUCGAACGGCAGCACAGUAAGAGCUUGCUCUUACGGUGGCGAGUGGCGGACGGGUGAGGAAUACAUCGGAAUCUACUUUUUCGUGGGGGAUAACGUAGGGAAACUUACGCUAAUACCACAUACGACCUACGGGUGAAAGCAGGGGAUCUUCGGACCUUGCGCGAUUGAAUGAGCCGAUGUCGGAUUAGCUAGUUGGCGGGGUAAAGGCCCACCAAGGCGACGAUCCGUAGCUGGUCUGAGAGGAUGAUCAGCCACACUGGAACUGAGACACGGUCCAGACUCCUACGGGAGGCAGCAGUGGGGAAUAUUGGACAAUGGGCGCAAGCCUGAUCCAGCCAUACCGCGUGGGUGAAGAAGGCCUUCGGGUUGUAAAGCCCUUUUGUUGGGAAAGAAAAGCAGCAGGUUAAUACCCCGCUGUUCUGACGGUACCCAAAGAAUAAGCACCGGCUAACUUCGUG
RNAcentral lists this ribosomal RNA (491 nucleotides) under uncultured bacterium. Its description in RNAcentral is "partial 16S ribosomal RNA". It matches the Rfam family "Bacterial small subunit ribosomal RNA", at positions 29 to 507 of the family's 1533-position model. The record is from RNAcentral.